RNAcentral lists this ribosomal RNA (301 nucleotides) under uncultured bacterium. RNAcentral describes it as "partial 16S ribosomal RNA". It matches the Rfam family "Bacterial small subunit ribosomal RNA", at positions 509 to 807 of the family's 1533-position model. The record is from RNAcentral.
CAGUCGCCGCGGUAAUACGAAGGGUGCAAGCGUUAAUCGGAAUUACUGGGCGUAAAGCGCGCGUAGGUGGUUUGGUAAGAUGGAUGUGAAAUCCCCGGGCUCAACCUGGGAACUGCAUCCAUAACUGCCUGACUAGAGUACGGUAGAGGGUGGUGGAAUUUCCUGUGUAGCGGUGAAAUGCGUAGAUAUAGGAAGGAACACCAGUGGCGAAGGCGACCACCUGGACUGAUACUGACACUGAGGUGCGAAAGCGUGGGGAGCAAACAGGAUUAGAUACCCCCGUAGUCCCUGUCUCUUAUAC